RNAcentral lists this ribosomal RNA (501 nucleotides) under uncultured bacterium. Its description in RNAcentral is "bacterial SSU rRNA". It matches the Rfam family "Bacterial small subunit ribosomal RNA", at positions 29 to 527 of the family's 1533-position model. The record is from RNAcentral.
AACUAACGCUGGCGGCGUGCCUAACACAUGCAAGUCGUACGAGAAAGCCGGCUUCGGCUGGUGAGUAAAGUGGCGCACGGGUGAGUAACGCGUGGAUAAUCUGCCCUUAAGUGUGGAAUAACGUACCGAAAGGUGCGCUAAUACCGCAUAAUGCCUGGCAACACAAGUUGUCCGGCCAAAGAAGGCCUCUGUUUACAAGCUUUCGCUUCAGGAUGAGUCCGCGUACCAUUAGCUUGUUGGUGGGGUAAUGGCCUACCAAGGCUGCGAUGGUUAGCUGGUCUGAGAGGAUGAUCAGCCACACUGGAACUGAGACACGGUCCAGACUCCUACGGGAGGCAGCAGUGAGGAAUAUUGCGCAAUGGGGGCAACCCUGACGCAGCAACGCCGCGUGAGGGACGAAGGCCCUUGGGUCGUAAACCUCUUUUGCAGGGGAAGAAGAAGAUGACGGUACCUUGCGAACAAGUCCCGGCUAACUACGUGCCAGCAGCCGCGGUAAACACG